Molecule: ribosomal RNA, 497 nt
Filed under: uncultured bacterium
Lineage: Bacteria
Description: partial 16S ribosomal RNA
Rfam family: Bacterial small subunit ribosomal RNA
Source: RNAcentral
GAUGAGCGCUGGCGGCGUGCCUAAUACAUGCAAGUCGAGCGAACAGACGAGGAGCUUGCUCCUCUGACGUUAGCGGCGGACGGGUGAGUAACACGUGGAUAACCUACCUAUAAGACUGGGAUAACUUCUGGAAACCGGAGCUAAUACCGGAUAAUAUAUUGAACCGCAUGGUUCAAUAGUGAAAGACGGUUUUGCUGUCACUUAUAGAUGGAUCCGCGCCGCAUUAGCUAGUUGGUAAGGUAACGGCUUACCAAGGCAACGAUGCGUAGCCGACCUGAGAGGGUGAUCGGCCACACUGGAACUGAGACACGGUCCAGACUCCUACGGGAGGCAGCAGUAGGGAAUCUUCCGCAAUGGGCGAAAGCCUGACGGAGCAACGCCGCGUGAGUGAUGAAGGUCUUCGGAUCGUAAAACUCUGUUAUUAGGGAAGAACAAAUGUGUAAGUAACUAUGCACGUCUUGACGGUACCUAAUCAGAAAGCCACGGCUAACUACGUG